This 642-nucleotide ribosomal RNA is filed under the name uncultured bacterium. Its description in RNAcentral is "bacterial SSU rRNA". It matches the Rfam family "Bacterial small subunit ribosomal RNA", at positions 202 to 842 of the family's 1533-position model. The record is from RNAcentral.
CAAAGGGAUUACCGGUGGCGGAUGGGCAUGCGGCGCAUUAGCUAGUCGGCGGGGUAACGGCCCACCGAGGCGACGAUGCGUAGGGGUUCUGAGAGGAAGGUCCCCCACACUGGUACUGAGACACGGACCAGACUCCUACAGGAGGCAGCAGUGAGGAAUAUUGGUCAAUGGGCGCGAGCCUGAACCAGCCAAGUCGCGUGAGGGAUGACGGUCCUACGGAUUGUAAACCUCUUUUGCCGGGGAGCAAGCGUGCGUUCGUGAACGCGCGUCGAGAGUACCCGGAGAAAAAGCAUCGGCUAACUCCGUGCCAGCAGCCGCGGUAAUACGGAGGAUGCGAGCGUUAUCCGGAUUUAUUGGGUUUAAAGGGUGCGUAGGCGGGAUGCCAAGUCAGCGGUAAAAAUGCGGUGCUCAACGCCGUCGAGCCGUUGAAACUGGCGUUCUUGAGUGGGCGAGAAGUAUGCGGAAUGCGUGGUGUAGCGGUGAAAUGCAUAGAUAUCACGCAGAACUCCGAUUGCGAAGGCAGCAUACCGGCGCCCUACUGACGCUGAGGCACGAAAGCGUGGGUAUCGAACAGGAUUAGAUACCCUGGUAGUCCACGCAGUAAACGAUGAAUGCUAACUGUCCGGCUCGAAUGAGCGCUGG